Sinocyclocheilus grahami is the source of this 322-nucleotide long non-coding RNA. RefSeq lists it as uncharacterized. Lineage: Eukaryota; Metazoa; Chordata; Actinopteri; Cypriniformes; Cyprinidae. The record is from RefSeq and is a predicted model, not a curated record. The transcript has 4 exons.
UCUCUUUUAAGGUGUCAAGACCGGACAGUUCACGAUUCUCCAGCUGGUUGAAGCAUUGGGGUUGAGUCUGACCAGCUCUCAGCCUCAGACGCGUGGCCGAGGAGUUCAGCUCCUGUCGCAGGUCCUGCAGGAAUGCUACAGCAGCCUGUCGGAGAAAGAGCUGGAGGUCCUGCUAGCUUUCUAUGAAAACAGACUGAAGGAUCAUUAUGUGAUCAUACCACAUGUUCUUCAGGGGCUGAAGGCUUUGACGGAAUGCUCUGUUCUGCCUCCUGGUUCAGCUGUGUCCAUUUUGAGAUCCAUCUUCCAGGAUCUUCAUGUUCAG